UGCGCAGGCGGUUAUAUAAGACAGAUGUGAAAUCCCCGGGCUCAACCUGGGAACUGCAUUUGUGACUGUAUAGCUAGAGUACGGUAGAGGGGGAUGGAAUUCCGCGUGUAGCAGUGAAAUGCGUAGAUAUGCGGAGGAACACCGAUGGCGAAGGCAAUCCCCUGGACCUGUACUGACGCUCAUGCACGAAAGCGUGGGGAGCAAACA
Molecule: ribosomal RNA, 207 nt
Filed under: uncultured bacterium
Lineage: Bacteria
Description: partial 16S ribosomal RNA
Rfam family: Bacterial small subunit ribosomal RNA
Source: RNAcentral